RNAcentral lists this unclassified non-coding RNA (545 nucleotides) under Lentilactobacillus buchneri. Its description in RNAcentral is "Lactobacillus buchneri partial contains 16S ribosomal RNA, 16S-23S intergenic spacer, and 23S ribosomal RNA". The stretch from base 353 to 545 matches the Rfam family "Bacterial large subunit ribosomal RNA", at positions 1 to 192 of the family's 2925-position model. Lineage: Bacteria; Bacillati; Bacillota; Bacilli; Lactobacillales; Lactobacillaceae. RNAcentral also lists the same sequence under 1 other name. The record is from RNAcentral.
AGAGUUUGUAACACCCAAAGCCGGUGAGGUAACCUUCGGGGACCAGCCGUCUAAGGUGGGACAGAUGAUUAGGGUGAAGUCGUAACAAGGUAGCCGUAGGAGAACCUGCGGCUGGAUCACCUCCUUUCUAAGGAAAAACGGAAUCCUGCACAUUGUCGAAAGUUUUGUUUAGUUUUGAGAGGUCUACUCUCAAUUCGUUCUUUGAAAACUAGAUAAUAUUAAUUUUCUGUAAUAAUUUUUUUGAAAUUGUAUUUUAUAUAAUUUCAACCGAGAACACCAGCGUUAUUUUGAGUUUGUUAACUAGAAAAAAUCGCAAAUACUCAAUUAACUUUGCAUUACCUAGUGGUGCACCGGUUAAGUUAAAAAGGGCCCAUGGGGGAUGCCUUGGCACUAGAACCCCAUGAAGGACGGGACUAACCCCGAUAUGCNUCGGGGAGCUGCACCUAANCUUUGAUCCGGAAAUUUCCCAAUGGGGAANCCCCACAGUUUUAAUCCACUGGUACUAUAUUGGGAAUUCAUAACUAUAUAGAGGGAGACGGGGGGAA